ACGCUGGCGGCGUGCUAAUACAUGCAAGUCGAGCGGACAGAAGGGAGCUUGCUCCCGGAUGUUAGCGGCGGACGGGUGAGUAACACGUGGGUAACCUGCCUGUAAGACUGGGAUAACUCCGGGAAACCGGAGCUAAUACCGGAUAGUUCCUUGAACCGCAUGGUUCAAGGAUGAAAGACGGUUUCGGCUGUCACUUACAGAUGGACCCGCGGCGCAUUAGCUAGUUGGUGAGGUAACGGCUCACCAAGGCGACGAUGCGUAGCCGACCUGAGAGGGUGAUCGGCCACACUGGGACUGAGACACGGCCCAGACUCCUACGGGAGGCAGCAGUAGGGAAUCUUCCGCAAUGGACGAAAGUCUGACGGAGCAACGCCGCGUGAGUGAUGAAGGUUUUCGGAUCGUAAAGCUCUGUUGUUAGGGAAGAACAAGUGCAAGAGUAACUGCUUGCACCUUGACGGUACCUAACCAGAAAGCCACGGCUAACUACGUGCCAGCAGCCGCGGUAAUACGUAGGUGGCAAGCGUUGUCCGGAAUUAUUGGGCGUAAAGGGCUCGCAGGCGGUUUCUUAAGUCUGAUGUGAAAGCCCCCGGCUCAACCGGGGAGGGUCAUUGGAAACUGGGAAACUUGAGUGCAGAAGAGGAGAGUGGAAUUCCACGUGUAGCGGUGAAAUGCGUAGAGAUGUGGAGGAACACCAGUGGCGAAGGCGACUCUCUGGUCUGUAACUGACGCUGAGGAGCGAAAGCGUGGGGAGCGAACAGGAUUAGAUACCCUGGUAGUCCACGCCGUAAACGAUGAGUGCUAAGUGUUAGGGGGUUUCCGCCCCUUAGUGCUGCAGCUAACGCAUUAAGCACUCCGCCNGGGGAGUACGGUCGCAAGACUGAAACUCAAAGGAAUUGACGGGGGCCCGCACAAGCGGUGGAGCANGUGGUUNAAUUCGAAGCAACGCGAAGAACCUUACCAGGUCUUGACNUCCUCUGACAACCCUAGAGAUAGGGCUUUCCCUUCGGGGACAGAGUGACAGGUGGUGCANGGUNGUCGUCAGCUCGUGUCGUGAGAUGUUGGGUUAAGUCCCGCAACGAGCGCAACCCUUGAUNUUAGUUGCCAGCAUUNAGUUGGGCACUCUAAGGUGNCUGCCGGUGACNAACCGGAGGAAGGUGGGGAUGACGUCAAAUCAUCAUGCCCCUUAUGACCUGGGNUACACACGUGCUACAAUGGACAGAACAAAGGGCUGCGAGACCGCAAGGUUUAGCCAAUCCCACAAAUCUGUUCUCAGUUCGGAUCGCAGUCUGCAACUCGACUGCGUGAAGCUGGAAUCGCUAGUAAUCGCGGAUCACAUGCCGCGGUGAAUACGUUCCCGGGCCUUGUACACACCGCCCGUCACACCACGAGAGUUUGCAACACCCGAAGUCGGUGAGGGUA
Molecule: ribosomal RNA, 1419 nt
Filed under: Bacillus sp. (in: firmicutes)
Lineage: Bacteria; Bacillati; Bacillota; Bacilli; Caryophanales; Bacillaceae
Description: bacterial SSU rRNA
Rfam family: Bacterial small subunit ribosomal RNA
Source: RNAcentral